This 250-nucleotide ribosomal RNA is filed under the name uncultured bacterium. Its description in RNAcentral is "partial 16S ribosomal RNA". It matches the Rfam family "Bacterial small subunit ribosomal RNA", at positions 83 to 334 of the family's 1533-position model. The record is from RNAcentral.
CUUUGGUGGCGACCGGCGCACGGGUGCGUAACGCGUAUGCAACCUACCUUUAACAGGGGCAUAACACUGAGAAAUUGGUACUAAUUCCCCAUAACAUUCGAGAAGGCAUCUUCUUGGGUUAAAAACUCCGGUGGUUAAAGAUGGGCAUGCGUUGUAUUAGCUAGUUGGUGAGGUAACGGCUCACCAAGGCGACGAUACAUAGGGGGACUGAGAGGUUAACCCCCCACACUGGUACUGAGACACGGACCAG